RNAcentral lists this long non-coding RNA (783 nucleotides) under Numida meleagris (helmeted guineafowl). RNAcentral describes it as "lncRNA (ENSNMEG00000003046.1)". Lineage: Eukaryota; Metazoa; Chordata; Aves; Galliformes; Numididae. The record is from RNAcentral.
UGCACAGCAUCCUCCAGCACCGCACCACGGUGCUGACCCCACUGUCCCCCAUUGUCCCCCCAUUGCCCCCCAUUUUCUCCCCCCCUGCCCCCCAACUCCGGGAGGGGGUUGACCCUAAUAUUCUGCCCCAUAUUCUGCCCCACAUCCUGCCCCCCAACCUAGGCCUGAACGUGCACAGCAUCCUCAAGCACCGCACCCUGGUGCUGACGCUGGCGGCCGUGGAGUUCCUGGAGCAGAAGCUGCUGUGGCACGACAGCCGCUACGCCGCCCUGCAGCCCUUCAGCAUGCCCCACAGCGACAUCCCAUAAUAAGCCCCCCCACCCCCCACCCCUCGACGGACCAUAAAAAAGGCAGAUUUGGGGUUUUUUGGGGUUUUUUCAUUGCCUUUUUUCUCCUCGUUCCGAGGUGUUGCGGCUCACGGUUGGGGGCUCUAUGGGAGGUGGUGGGAGGUCAGGGGGGACUUGGGGGGGGGCUUGCUAUGGGGCAGGAGGGGACGCUGUGGGGCAGGGGCGCCCCCAAAUCCCGGUUGCCUGCCCGCGUCCGACUGUUGCCAGCCUCUGACUGUUGCCCGCCUGCAUCUGACUGUUACUAGCCCAUGUCCGACUGUUGCCAGCCCAUGUCUGACUGUUGCCCGCCUGCAUCCGACUGUUGCCUGCCCAUGGCCUGCGUCCAGCUGUUGUUGUCCUCCCGCAUCCAGCUGUUGUUGUCCUCCCGCAUCCAGCUGUUGUCCUCCCGCAUCCAGCUGUUGUUGUCCUCCCGCAUCCAGCUGUUGUUGUCCUCCCA